UCCGGUUGAUCCCGCCGGACCCCACUGCUAUCGGGAUGGGACUAAGACAUGCUAGUCGUGCGCCUCCAAGCCAUGGUGGAGGCGCGGCGUACAGCUCAUUAACACGUGGCUAACCUGCCCUUAGGACAGGGACAACUCCGGGAAACUGGAGCUAAUCCCUGAUAGGUGAGGAUUCCUGGAAUGGAUCCUCGCUGAAAAGGCGUCUAAACCAUGCUUUUAGACGUCGCCUAAGGAUGGGGCCGCGGCCGAUCAGGUUGUUGGUGAGGUAACGGCUCACCAAGCCUAUAACCGGUACGGGCCGUGGGAGCGGUAGCCCGGAGAUGGACACUGAGACAAGGGUCCAGGCCCUACGGGGCGCAGCAGUCGCGAAACCUCCGCAAUACACGAAAGUGUGACGGGGCCAUCCCGAGUGCCAUCCGCUGAGGAUGGCUUUUCCCCAGUGUAUACAGCUGGGGGAAUAAGGAGAGGGCAAGUCUGGUGUCAGCCGCCGCGGUAAUACCAGCUCUCCGAGUGGUGGGGAUGUUUAUUGGGCCUAAAGCAUCCGUAGCCGGCUGGACAAGUUCCCUGUCAAAUCCAGCGAUCUAAUCGUUGGACUGCGGGGGAUACUGUCCGGCUAGGGGGCGGGAGAGGCUGACGGUAUUCUCGGGGUAGGGGUGAAAUCCUAUAAUCCCGGGAAGACCACCAGUGGCGAAGGCUGUCGGCUAGAACGCGCCCGACGGUGAGGGAUGAAAGCUGGGGGAGCGAACCGGAUUAGAUACCCGGGUAGUCCCAGCUGUAAACGAUGCAGCUAUGUGUUAGGGCGGCUACGUGCCGCUCUAGUGCCGCAGGGAAGCUGUUAAGCCUGCCGCCUGGGGAGUAC
This 859-nucleotide ribosomal RNA is filed under the name uncultured Thermoprotei archaeon. RNAcentral's name for it is "bacterial SSU rRNA". It matches the Rfam family "Archaeal small subunit ribosomal RNA", at positions 1 to 838 of the family's 1478-position model. Lineage: Archaea; Thermoproteati; Thermoproteota; Thermoprotei. The record is from RNAcentral.